This 268-nucleotide ribosomal RNA is filed under the name uncultured bacterium. RNAcentral describes it as "partial 16S ribosomal RNA". It matches the Rfam family "Bacterial small subunit ribosomal RNA", at positions 57 to 305 of the family's 1533-position model. The record is from RNAcentral.
GCAAGUCGAACGAGAAAGGGACUGCUUGCAGUCCUGAGUAGAGUGGCGCACGGGUGAGUAACACGUGGAUAAUCUACCUUCGAAUCUGGGAUAACUAUCUGAAAAGGUAGCUAAUACCGGAUGAUGUCCUGACUACUUCGGUGGUUUGGAUGAAAGGCAGCCUCUUCUUGAAAGCUGUUGUUUGAAGAUGAGUCCGCGCACCAUUAGCUAGCUGGUGGGGUAACGGCCUACCAGGGCGACGAUGGUUAGCUGGUCUGAGAGGAUGAUC